This is a long non-coding RNA of Nerophis lumbriciformis (worm pipefish), 3688 nucleotides long. RefSeq lists it as uncharacterized. Lineage: Eukaryota; Metazoa; Chordata; Actinopteri; Syngnathiformes; Syngnathidae. The record is from RefSeq and is a predicted model, not a curated record.
UGCGCGUUCGCCACGUGCACUCCGCACUUGUCAGUCGCACUCCGAGAAAGGACGCAGAACACUCCGAGUGACUGCACACUUUUUGUGCUGCAUUUUAUUUUUUAUUUUUUAACAAUUAUUUGUAUUAGUUUUUUUUGUGCAACUCUGAAGGUUGGACUUGAGCUCUUUAUUUUUAAUUGUAUUUUCGGAAGUGAGGAGCAGACUGAUCCUGAUGCGCAAGAGCAUGCACAUGCCGACAUCAGCGGAAAAGUUGGCACCUGAAGGCAAAAGGCCGGCAAGGGAGAGGAUGAGGGGCUCGCUGCAGAUGGAAACACGCGUGGGCGGUAGCAAGGAGGGAUGACUGAACUCCGAGACCCCCAGUGCAGAUCCUCAUCGUGAUCAUCAUGGCCAGGGGCUUCUUGUCUUCCUCCGCCUGUGGUCCACACCUCCACCCAGAGGUCCGAGCUGGGCGAGUGGGCAGAGGAGGGAUGGAGAAGCUCCCUGAAGGCGAGAAGCAGGAGAAAUCAAUACCAAACACGCUCGCCUUGAAGUGGGGCUUUCCUCUGGUUCUCUGUGGCCUGGGGGCACGCAGGCCUCCAAAGGACGGGCCCUCUCAACUGGACCGGACCCCCUUUCUCCACUUGUGUGGUUUUGCUGAAGGGGAUCCCCCAUCACUUCCCACCCCAGCACCCUGAAAGCUGAGACACAGCCAAAAGGGAUAUUUUUUUUUCUCCAGCUGCAACAGAUUGACUUAUUCUCCACCUUCUUUCUUAGGACUUUUGACUCGUUUCAACAGCCUGAACAAAUGUCUUUUGCAAACCAGACAAUCUUUUUCCCCCUCCUCCCAGAAAAAAAUGGACUGAACAGCAAAGAAAACAAUAUAAUCAUUUGGGACUCCUGCUUGGAAUGGAUCAUCAAUAAAUAUAUCAAUAGAUUUGACUAUUGAUCGUCUUGGAAAAAUACUUCUAGUAACUAAUAGUCAAUGUCAAUUUUCUGUUAUUUUUUGUUUUGUUUUCUGCUGUUUUCAGUGUUAUUAAACACAACAUGUACAGAAAUGUGUACAGUUAUUAAACACAACAUGUAUGUGUACAGUUAUUAAACACAACAUGUGUGUGUACAGUUAUUAAACAUAACAUGUGUGUGUACAGUUAUUAAACAUGUGUGUACAGUUAAACUUGUGAGUACAGUUAUUAAACAUAACAUGUGUGUGUACAGUUAUUAAACAACAUGUGUGUGUACAGUUAUUAAACAUGUGUGUAUAAUCAUUAAACAUGUAUGUGUACAGUUAUUAAACAACAUGUGUGUGUACAGUUAGAAAGUGUAGUUAUUAAACACAACAUGUGUGUGUACAGUUAAACAUAACAUGCGUGUGUACAAUAUUAAACACAACAUGUGUAUAGUUAUUAAACAUAACAUGUGUGUACAGUUAUUAAACAUAACAUGUGCGUGUAGUUAUUAAACAUAACAUAUGUGUAUAGUUAUUAAACAUAACGUGUGUGUACAGUUAUUAAACAUAACAUGUGUGUGUAGUUAUUAAACAUAAUAUGUGUGUACAGUUAUUAAACAUUGCAUGUGUGUGUAGUUAUUAAACAUAUGUGUGUACAGUUAUUAAACAUAACGUGUGUGUGUAGUUAUUAAACAUAAUAUUUGUGUACAGUUAUUAAACAUAACGUGUGUGUACAGUUAUAAAACAUAACGUGGAUGUACAAUAAAGAUCACAUUGACAUUCACAUUAUGCUCCAGCGAGUUUUAUUACCAUUUGAUAACCAAAUCCAAAAGGUUUUGAAUUUUUGUUUGCAUAUUUACGUGGUUGAAACGCCAUCAAAUGUAAUAAUUGUAUAAAUGAAUAAAAGGAAAUGCAUGUUGUUAGUGUACCCAAGUUAUUAGAUUCUAAAAUUGGUAUUCAAAAAAAAAUCACCCGUCAUGAAUAUUAUUAUAAAAUCAAGAAAAGCUGCCUUUAGUUUUUGUAUUAAAAAAUAUUUUUAAAAGUCAGAAUGUAAUUAAAAGGAGAGACAACAUACUAAACAUUUAUAUUUGUAUAAAAUCAGCAUAUUAAACGUGUGUCAAAAAUUAAUAUUUGUGCAGUAUUAGUCAUAAUGUUAUAAGAUCAGAAACAAUAGAUCAUGCAUGCUGAAUGGCUUUGCCAGGUAUUUUUGUGUAAUAAACUAUUUUUAUUUGUUGUUAUUGUGUCAUCAUAUUUAUUACAUUAUCAUUAUGUUUUCUUCUCUUUACUUCUAAAUUAAAUGAUAUAAUGUAUGCCAAAAGUAAGGCAGACUUGCAGAAAUUAUUUUAUUUGCAUUUUUUGUAAAAAAAAAAAAAUAAAAAAGAAAAAAAAAAAAGAAAAAAAAGAAAAGAAAAAAAUUCAGAAAUAUAUUUUAAAAAGACUAAAAAUCUACAAUAUACUGUAUAUAUUUGUACCAGUCAACAAAGGUAUAACAAACAAACCAAUGCCUUGUUUGUAUGAAAAACAUAAUAUAUAAUAUUAUAAAAUCCAGAAAAAAAUAUAUAAAAGUAAGUCAGGCUGAAUGGCUAUAGAUUUUUUUUAUGUUAAAUUCACUAUAACUUAAACUGUAUUUGUAAUUUUUGUUGUAUCAUAUAUUAGCUUUAUAAUCAUUAUAUUUUUCCUUCUACAUUAAUGUAUCAGGCCUACACUUGGGGCAGAUUUUCAGAAAUUAAACAUUUGCAUUUUUAUGAAUAAGUUUAGGUGCACUUUAUUUUGUUAACAAAAAAAUAUUAUUUUUACCAAUCAUAAUAUUAUAAAAUCCCGAAAGAUCUGUCAAGUAUAGUUCGGCUGAAUGGCUAUACCAGAUAUUUUAUGUUAAAUUCACUAUCUUAUCGUUUCUUAUUUCUAGUUGUUUUAUCAUAAUAUUGCCUUUAUUAUUUUCAUUCUCUGUACUACCAAAGUAAAGAAUCAGUUCAACAAGGCAGACUUCAAGGAAUUAAUCAUUAGCAUUUUUAGUAAAACAAAAUAGCAAAAUGGAAAAAAACAGAGGCAAAAAUAUAUUUAAAAAAAAUAGUUUAAAUAUACAAAAUUAAUUUGUACAAGUCGCCAAAAUAUAACAACAAAAAUGCCUUUUUGUAUAAAAAAAAUAAAUACUUAAAUAUAUUUAAUCAUAAUAUUAUACAAUUAAGAAAAUAUACAGUAAGUCAGGCUGAAUGGCUUUUUCAAAUGUAAAAUUAACUGACGUCAACUGUUUUUAUUUUUAAUUAUUGUUUUAUCAUGUUUUCCUUCUCUUUACUUCGAAAUAAAAUAUCAUGCCAACACUUGGGCAGACUUCUAGAAAUGAAUAAUUUUCAAUUUUAGUCCAAACAUGUUUAGAUGUAUCUUAUACAAUAACAACAGAUAUAGUAAUAAAACAUUCAAUGGAGAGAUAUGUUUAGUUUGUAUUUUAAAAUACAUACAAAAGUCAGUGAAUCCUUUCACAUUUGUUAUUAGGGCUGUGGCAAAAAAACUGUUUAGGAUCCAAUUAAAGAACGGAAAUUGGAGGUAAAAAAAUAUAUAUAAAAUGAGACUACGGAGAGCAUGAGUCCAACAUGCAAAUUGACACUGUCUCCUUCUGGCAUCUUAGCACGUUUCUAUAGCAACCACAUCUUCUGACACAGACGCCAUCCUAAUUAGUCGCUCUGGCUCAUUCAUUGUCAUUUAACAUGGGCAAAAAUUGGUGUCAAAUAAAUAUAUUGUAAAAAUAAAUAUUAAAUAUGCAUUUCG